This 425-nucleotide ribosomal RNA is filed under the name bacterium. RNAcentral describes it as "partial 16S ribosomal RNA". It matches the Rfam family "Bacterial small subunit ribosomal RNA", at positions 355 to 776 of the family's 1533-position model. The record is from RNAcentral.
UGGGGAAUAUUGCACAAUGGGCGCAAGCCUGAUGCAGCGACGCCGCGUGAGGGAUGGAGGCCUUCGGGUUGUAAACCUCUUUCGCCAGUGAAGCAGGCCAUCUUCUUUGUGGGGUGGUUGACGGUAGCUGGAUAAGAAGCGCCGGCUAACUACGUGCCAGCAGACGCGGUAAUACGUAGGGCGCGAGCGUUGUCCGGAAUUAUUGGGCGUAAAGAGCUCGUAGGCGGCUGGUCGCGUCUGUCGUGAAAUCCCCUGGCUUAACUGGGGGCUUGCGGUGGGUACGGGCCGGCUUGAGUGCGGUAGGGGAGACUGGAAUUCCUGGUGUAGCGGUGGAAUGCGCAGAUAUCGGGAGGAACACCGGUGGCGAAGGCGGGUCUCUGGGCCGUUACUGACGCUGAGGAGCGAAAGCGUGGGGAGCGAACAGG